CUGAAGAUGAUGUUCCUGAAGCCUAGAGAUGUCAGCACUCGCAGUCAGCCGCUUUAUCAUCCAUUGCUCCAUUAACCUCAUCCACCUGGUCAACACAAUUCAAACAUACCAGAUACAGACUCAGUUAAAACAGAUAUGGGUGCAAGUCAUGACACUUUUACAGAUUAAAGAUGUCCGAGAUUCACGAUGAAUGCUGUUUGAAGAAGAAUGAACAGAAUCACAUUUUAAUUUAAUCUCACUGCCAAUGU
This is a long non-coding RNA of Mya arenaria, 248 nucleotides long. RefSeq lists it as uncharacterized. The record is from RefSeq and is a predicted model, not a curated record. NCBI's taxonomy places the organism in Eukaryota, Metazoa, Mollusca, Bivalvia, Myida, Myidae. The transcript is spliced from 4 exons.